This 298-nucleotide unclassified non-coding RNA is filed under the name plant metagenome. RNAcentral describes it as "partial contains small subunit ribosomal RNA, internal transcribed spacer 1, and 5.8S ribosomal RNA". The record is from RNAcentral.
UUUCCGUAGGCGAACCUGCGGAAGGAUCAUUAUUGAAUGAACUUGGCGUGGUUGUCGCUGGCCCUCUCGGGGGUAUGUGCACGCCCGUCAUCUUUAUCUUUCCACCUGUGCACACUUUGUAGACUUGAAUAGUAUUUUCUGAGGCAACUCAGUCGGGAGGAUUGCUGGUAUUUAUCAGCUCUCCUUGCAUUAUUCAAGCCUAUGUUUUUCAUAUACCCCAAAAAUGUAACAGAAUGUAUCAUAGGGCCUUGUGCCUAUAAACUAUAUACAACUUUCAGCAACGGAUCUCUUGGCUCUC